CCGCCUGUGGGGCUGAGUUCUAAGCUGUUCCACAGCUCCAGAUCUAAAUGUAUCACAAGCGGCCAUCAUGACACUAACUUUAUGCUGCAGAAGCCAAUAGGCUACCUUGGCAAGAUUUGUAGAUUUUCCAACUCCAUUGACCCCAACAAACACUACCACGUAAGGUUUCUUUUGUUCUUUUGCAGCAUGCACAUCCCUCAGAAUGUCAAUGGAGCGUCUUGGAGUCAGUAUACGGACAAGGGCUUCUUCCAUUGCAGCCUGGACCGUUGAAGAAAUCCUUGUGAAAGAAGCUAGCUUUUUCCCCUCAAGACUAGCUGCUACUGAUUCACAAAGUUUUUCAGCUAUCUCCUCAGCCACAUUCUUUGUCAUAAGUCUGUCCUUGAGAGCCUUCAGAGCUGGUUCCAGGUCUGUUUUGUCCAAACUUGCCUUGCCUGAGAUACUCUGGAACAUAGAUGAGAAACCUACUGAGGCAAAAUUAGACUUCACAGAUCCUGUGGGUGAGAAUGGGGACAACAACAUCGAAGUUUUGGCAGCAGAUCAGGGCCAAAGUAUGAUGGACAAAGAAGAGGUCUUUAGUAGUGACAG
This 585-nucleotide unclassified non-coding RNA is filed under the name Hevea brasiliensis (rubber tree). The record is from RNAcentral. Lineage: Eukaryota; Viridiplantae; Streptophyta; Magnoliopsida; Malpighiales; Euphorbiaceae.